Long non-coding RNA from Oreochromis niloticus (Nile tilapia), 1158 nucleotides. RefSeq lists it as uncharacterized. The record is from RefSeq and is a predicted model, not a curated record. The transcript has 3 exons. Lineage: Eukaryota; Metazoa; Chordata; Actinopteri; Cichliformes; Cichlidae.
AAAACCAUCUUUGUAAGACGCUCCAUGUGACAAAUGGCAACAUUUCAGGAGUCAUGCUGUGAGGUGGUGUUACUUGUAGCUGCACCAUGAGUCAAUGCUGACAUCUUUGGAGAUGAUUGAUUCACCCCGUCUGGCCAGAGAGGAGUGAAGAGGAGAGCAGAGCUGGAUCCUCCCCGGGGCUGCAGCUUCCUGCCACCCUGCCAUGGCUUCACCACAGUGUCACUUCACCAGUGAUGGAGCUUCCAACCCCUCCCCAGUCCCCCACCUCCCCGACAUCUCUUGUCUGCUGCAAGCUGCCGCAAUCAGUACGGGCCCCUGAUUGGACUUGGGCAGGACAGAUUGGGAAGCCGUGAUGGCGGCACAGAAGUUGAGGGAGAAGCUAUUUAUCCCAGACGGAUCAGGAGGUGUGUGACGGAGGUGUGGACGGUUGCUGCAGGUCAGUGACGUUGGCAGGCGCCAGGCAGGCCGGCCCACAUGGCUCGGGGACUGUGGGACUACAGACAGAUGGCACCUGGUGGGUGACAAACAAUUAACAAACCAACAAGAAUAGCUGGAUCGGCAGUAUACCCACAAGCACAGGAGAUAGCAAGAGAGCGGGUGCAUCUGUGCUCUGAACACUUUUACUCUUUACUUUUCCUCUUCCCAAGUCUUGUUUUGUAUAACAGUUGCAAUUUACCCAUGUGUCUUUUUCACAAAAACACUCUUGUUGUCGUGCCGCUAUAGAACAGUCUAAAUAAAGCAGUGUGGAGCAUAUGCAGCCAGCAUAUGUUUCUGUUUAUUUCAGAAGAAGCAGUGGGUAAUUUAAAUGUGCAAUACUGUGGAACAACACAUUUGAUAUCUACUUAAAUGUUAAGCAAAACUUAUAAACAGUUAUAUAAAGUUUGUCUUUGCAAUAGCAUUGCCUGCAUUGGUUACAGGUUAUGUGUAAAAUCCAUGCUGGAAAUAGAUUGUGUGGUGUAUGGUCGUCACUGGUAUUUGACUGUCUAUCUACAUCCAAUUGUAAUUAGACAGUCCACUUACUGUACACUGAAGAUGGCCUCUGUUGUCAUAAAUGAGAAAAUAUGUGAUUAUUUAAUCUUUUUUAAGAGUGACAAGAUUGGAAUUAUUAUCCAUACUGGGCUCUGUGUGCGAGUAAACGACUGUCAUCUGGUAAAAUUA